AAAUCAACAUUACUAACGGCGUAAAGAGUGGUCACAUGCUAUCCAAGUAACUAAGAUCAAAAAGCAACUGAGUCGUCACAAGCCAAAGAUGCGCAGUAAAAGGCCUCUAUUCAAAGAAAAUCUUAGACUAACGAUGGAUUGAACCCACGAAAGCCAGGGCCCAAACUGGGAUUAGAUACCCCACUAUGCCUGGCCCUAAAUCUUGAUGCUCGAUCUAACCGGAGCAUCCGCCCGAGAACUACGAGCACAAACGCUUAAAACUCUAAGGACUUGGCGGUGCUCCAAACCCACCUAGAGGAGCCUGUUCUGUAAUCGAUGAUCCACGAUAUACCUGACCAUUCCUCGCCCAAAAUCAGCCUACAUACCGCCGUCUCCAGCCCACCCCCAUGAAGGCCCAACA
This 400-nucleotide ribosomal RNA is filed under the name Turdoides jardineii. RNAcentral describes it as "partial 12S ribosomal RNA". It matches the Rfam family "Bacterial small subunit ribosomal RNA", at positions 542 to 1045 of the family's 1533-position model. Lineage: Eukaryota; Metazoa; Chordata; Aves; Passeriformes; Leiothrichidae. The record is from RNAcentral.